Long non-coding RNA from Dendronephthya gigantea, 462 nucleotides. RefSeq lists it as uncharacterized. The transcript is spliced from 3 exons. The record is from RefSeq and is a predicted model, not a curated record. Lineage: Eukaryota; Metazoa; Cnidaria; Anthozoa; Malacalcyonacea; Nephtheidae.
UUAAGGUGGGCAGGAAGACACGAUUUUUUUCAUUCAGAACCAACCGUUGAUGCUCUUCUUAGACUUCGGCAACGCCGGUUUUAAGAUUUCAAAACUUGAAAGACGAGAUGCCAAAGUUAAUAAAUACUUUGCAUAUAUUUCUUAUCGUUUUGAUUGUUAUUCAAGUUGAGUCAAUCAGUUCUUGGGAGAAAUGGGGGAAUGGCAAGGAUUGGGGAAAACGAAGAAAUAUUCCUUCAAAAUUGAACAUCAAGUCAAAAGGUGUUGCAUCAUUCUUACAAAAAAGUCGAAAAAUGGGCACUAGGACAGCAAAGGAAUUUGAACCAUAUGAAAUGGAAGAUGAAAAAUGGCAUGCAAAUGCAGAAUAAAAACUAUUUUAUGACCGAAUAUGGAAAAUGAUAAACGUUCAAAGAAAAUAUAUGUACAGACAUAGAGAAUAUAAUAUUAAUUAAACUUAACUCAAAA